Molecule: ribosomal RNA, 1510 nt
Filed under: Escherichia coli
Lineage: Bacteria; Pseudomonadati; Pseudomonadota; Gammaproteobacteria; Enterobacterales; Enterobacteriaceae
Description: partial 23S ribosomal RNA
Rfam family: Bacterial large subunit ribosomal RNA
Source: RNAcentral
UGUUACUGCGAAGGGGGGACGGAGAAGGCUAUGUUGGCCGGGCGACGGUUGUCCCGGUUUAAGCGUGUAGGCUGGUUUUCCAGGCAAAUCCGGAAAAUCAAGGCUGAGGCGUGAUGACGAGGCACUACGGUGCUGAAGCGACAAAUGCCCUGCUUCCAGGAAAAGCCUCUAAGCAUCAGGUAACAUCAAAUCGUACCCCAAACCGACACAGGUGGUCAGGUAGAGAAUACCAAGGCGCUUGAGAGAACUCGGGUGAAGGAACUAGGCAAAAUGGUGCCGUAACUUCGGGAGAAGGCACGCUGAUAUGUAGGUGAAGCGACUUGCUCGUGGAGCUGAAAUCAGUCGAAGAUACCAGCUGGCUGCAACUGUUUAUUAAAAACACAGCACUGUGCAAACACGAAAGUGGACGUAUACGGUGUGACGCCUGCCCGGUGCCGGAAGGUUAAUUGAUGGGGUUAGCGGUAACGCGAAGCUCUUGAUCGAAGCCCCGGUAAACGGCGGCCGUAACUAUAACGGUCCUAAGGUAGCGAAAUUCCUUGUCGGGUAAGUUCCGACCUGCACGAAUGGCGUAAUGAUGGCCAGGCUGUCUCCACCCGAGACUCAGUGAAAUUGAACUCGCUGUGAAGAUGCAGUGUACCCGCGGCAAGACGGAAAGACCCCGUGAACCUUUACUAUAGCUUGACACUGAACAUUGAGCCUUGAUGUGUAGGAUAGGUGGGAGGCUUUGAAGUGUGGACGCCAGUCUGCAUGGAGCCGACCUUGAAAUACCACCCUUUAAUGUUUGAUGUUCUAACGUGGGCCCCUUACCGGGGUUGCGGACAGUGUCUGGUGGGUAGUUUGACUGGGGCGGUCUCCUCCUAAAGAGUAACGGAGGAGCACGAAGGUUGGCUAAUCCUGGUCGGACAUCAGGAGGUUAGUGCAAUGGCAUAAGCCAGCUUGACUGCGAGCGUGACGGCGCGAGCAGGUGCGAAAGCAGGUCAUAGUGAUCCGGUGGUUCUGAAUGGAAGGGCCAUCGCUCAACGGAUAAAAGGUACUCCGGGGAUAACAGGCUGAUACCGCCCAAGAGUUCAUAUCGACGGCGGUGUUUGGCACCUCGAUGUCGGCUCAUCACAUCCUGGGGCUGAAGUAGGUCCCAAGGGUAUGGCUGUUCGCCAUUUAAAGUGGUACGCGAGCUGGGUUUAGAACGUCGUGAGACAGUUCGGUCCCUAUCUGCCGUGGGCGCUGGAGAACUGAGGGGGGCUGCUCCUAGUACGAGAGGACCGGAGUGGACGCAUCACUGGUGUUCGGGUUGUCAUGCCAAUGGCACUGCCCGGUAGCUAAAUGCGGAAGAGAUAAGUGCUGAAAGCAUCUAAGCACGAAACUUGCCCCGAGAUGAGUUCUCCCUGACUCCUUGAGAGUCCUGAAGGAACGUUGAAGACGACGACGUUGAUAGGCCGGGUGUGUAAGCGCAGCGAUGCGUUGAGCUAACCGGUACUAAUGAACCGUGAGGCUUAACCUUACAACGCCGAAG